GUGCCAGCAGCCGCGGUAAUACGUAGGAGCGCAAGCGUUAUCCGGAAUUAUUGGGCGUAAAGAGCUCGUAGGCGGUUUGUCGCGUCUGCCGUGAAAGUCCGGGGCUCAACCCCGGAUCUGCGGUGGGUACGGGCAGACUAGAGUGAUGUAGGGGAGACUGGAAUUCCUGGUGUAGCGGUGAAAUGCGCAGAUAUCAGGAGGAACACCGAUGGCGAAGGCAGGUCUCUGGGCAUUAACUGACGCUGAGGAGCGAAAGCAUGGGGAGCGAACAGGAUUAGAUACCCUGGUAGUCC
This 293-nucleotide ribosomal RNA is filed under the name uncultured microorganism. Its description in RNAcentral is "partial 16S ribosomal RNA". It matches the Rfam family "Bacterial small subunit ribosomal RNA", at positions 505 to 796 of the family's 1533-position model. The record is from RNAcentral.